AGUCAACACAUAUUGUCUCCUCAAGAAUGAAUCUUGUGAUUUACACUCAACAAUUAUUUCUUUUAACCUCAACCCUGAACCUUGGUUAAGGUUAAAAGACCAAGACCAAGGAAGCAAAGCAGAAAUGCAGACUUGACACUGAGACAGAAAACUAAGUCUAAAUGUCACAGGGUGGAAAGGGACAAGUUAUCUAAGUUUUUUUACUGUGCAUGUUUUUGUUGUGUUUUACCUUUUUAAUGUUUUAAUAUUGUACAUUGGGUUAUUUUUAUGAGUUUUACUGCAUGUUUUAAUGGUAUUUAUUUGGUGACUUGUCCUGGAAAGACUCCGCCCCUACCUGAUAAUAAGCUGAUCACACCUGCGAGAGAUCCCAGAGAGGCCAAUAAGAGGGCCUGGCAGACCAAAGGAAGGGGUUCGACCGAGAGGCAAGAGAGGACUGAAGCAUGAAGGCACCCAUGAGUGUCACGGGAACCCACGAGAGCCUGGAGUGACACGGAGGCUUAAGAGAUGAGGCCUGAGAGGCCUGACGUGAGGCUUCAGGGUGAAGUCACAGAGGCGUGACACAUGGCGUGGGACAUGAGGCCUGACAUGAGGUUUGAGAGCGACACGAAAAGAGUGACACAUAAGACAGUUGGAGCUUGGCGUUCCAGAGAGCACGAUACAGCACCAGCAACUAGGCACGUGGAGCGAACAGUUGGACGGCAGUAGCAACAAGAGCCCAGCUUGUGCACUGCGGGAGAGCAGAGGUGGCAAGACAGCUGGUGCCAAUUUGCAGUUUUAAAGAAGCGGCGGGCGGAGUUGAGAGCUCUGCCCACCCGGGCGUACCGGGACGCGGAAUGUGGGGAGGAAGGCGAGGACUCCGCUGGGUUUCCCUUUUAUAUCACUUCGCUGGAUUUCUUAGCUCCCUGGGACUUUUAGGUCGUGGCGCAGGCCACUGGACUUUUAAUGUUGUGUUUUAUUGAUUUUUAUUGUGUUACCCCUUGGCCAACCCCUUUUUUUAAUUCAUUUUACAUUUUUAACUAUUUACAGUGGGGCAAAAAAGUAUUUAGUCAGCCACCGAUUGUGCAAGUUCCCCCACCU
This is a long non-coding RNA of Astatotilapia calliptera (eastern happy), 1077 nucleotides long. The record is from Ensembl. NCBI's taxonomy places the organism in Eukaryota, Metazoa, Chordata, Actinopteri, Cichliformes, Cichlidae.